CGGAUGGACGGUGAUCUUGAGGCCGUACAUGUAAUCUCAUUGAAUGUUAUCCGAACCGACGCUCGUGGAUUUGGCCCCCUAUGUGACUACAAAAGUCCCCGUCUCGAGUCUCGAAUCCCUAACUCUGGCCCGAUCGAGGGAGAUGAUGCCGACGGUGCCUCACUUCGUUCUCCUGCUCUUCUCGCUCUCGAUUCUAUCCUCCACAGCACGCUCCGAUCUGGUGAUCUCGAGGGUCGAUCGACGGAUUGAUUUGACUUCGCACAUCGUACGAGUCCUAUCCUCAUUAAAGGUAGAGAAUGUUGGUGCUGGUGCUGUCUCCGAGGUGUUGCUGGCCUUUCCCAAUAGCCAGGCAGAAAACCUGGCAACUAUAAAGACAAUAUAUAUUGAAGGAAAAGGAAAAGGACAAGGGUCUAGUAGUCUGCCAACUGCACGUGUUGAGCCUGAAGGAGUGCCCCCAGAAUUGACUUUUUAUUCAGUCUCGUUACCAAAAGGAUUGGAGAAGCGGGAGACCGUGACUUUGGAUGUCUUGACUGUAUUUACACGUUCUCUAAAACCAUUUCCUGAGGAAAUCACUCAAGCUGAUGUUCAACUUGUUCUAUAUCAGGAUAGCGCCCACUACUUGUCACCUUAUGCUGUUAAGGUUCAGACACUUGGUAUCAGAUUGCCCAGUCGAAGGGUUGAAUCAUAUACAAAAUAUCCUAAUACAAAACUUGUGGAAUCAGAAAUUAGAUAUGGGCCAUAUGAAAAUGUCCCUGCCCUCUCUUACUCACCUAUAGUUGUUCAUUUUGAAAACAACCAUCCUUUUGUAGUUGCACGGGAACUAGUGCGAGAGAUAGAGAUUUCGCAUUGGGGUAAUGUACAGGUUACUGAACACUACAGCCUUGUUCAUGGAGGUGCCGGGACUAAAGGAGGAUUUUCUAGGAUUGACUAUCAAUACAGGCCCUCAAUAAGCGGAGCGUCAUCAUUCAGGCAACUUAUUGCACGAUUGCCACCAAGGGCUCAUUCAAUUUAUUAUAGAGAUGAAAUCGGCAAUAUAUCAACAUCACAUGUGUGGGGUGAUUCUAGAAGGACACAACUUGAAAUUGAACCCAGAUUUCCAAUAUUUGGUGGGUGGAGAACAUCCUUUACUAUUGGCUAUGGUUUGCCAUUGCAAGACUUUCUAUUUGAGUCAGAGGGAAAGCGAGUCCUUAACAUCACAUUUGGCUGUCCCAUGGCUGAGGUUGUCAUUGACAAUCUAAUUGUCGAGGUUGUCUUGCCUGAAGGUUCGAAGGCUAUUUCUGUUUCUGCUCCAUUUCCUACAAGGCAAUGGCAAGAGGUAAAAUAUUCACAUCUGGACAUCGCUGGAAGACCUGUGGUGGUCCUGGAAAAGAAUAAUAUUGUUCCUGAGCAUAAUUUGUAUUUUCAGGUGUAUUACAAGUUCAACAACCUGUCACUGCUUAGAGAGCCAAUGAUGCUGAUUAUUGGAUUCUUCUUCCUAUUUAUUGCUUGUAUUGUGUACAUGCAUACUGAUAUGUCAAUCUCCAAGUCUUCUGCUUCAUAUCUGGCAAAACUGCAAUGGGAUGAGGUGCAGGCAACAGUUCAGCAGGUCCAGAAUAUUAUCAGCCACUUUUUGGCAGUCCAUGACAGGCUGGAGGCAUCAUUACGAGAUCUCUCCAGAACAGGAGAUGUUCAAUCCUGUAAGGCAGCUCGUAAAGCAGCUGAUGGGCAACUUAAAGAAUUGACCAAAGAGUUAAAACCCUUGUUGGGAUUUUUGCAGUCAUCUCCACAGGCUUCUCAGAUAUGGCCUAAGGUCACUGCUCUGGCGGUGUCUUGAUGUUAACCUGAUCAGCUAGCAGUUUCCAUAGUAUCAGCCUGGAACUAGCCGACUCAGGUAGAGGAGGUGGUGGCGAAGGAGAAAGAAAUGCAAGAGAAACUGAUGCAGAAACACUCUACUGUAGUUGACUGCUUUGAGAAGAAGCUCGGCGGGCGAGAAAUUGAGAAUCGGAUUGCUUCCCAGCAGCAGAAACUUUCAGCAUUGAGGCAAGAGGUUGAUGAUCUUCUCGAGGUCAUUGAUGAGAUCUAGAUGAAAUAUCCCUUACAUUAUGAGUUUUAACCCUAUUGUGAGAUCCUGCUUAGGAAUUUUGGCAUGCUUUGUAGGGUAUUCAAAUGGUCUCCCAAAAUGAUUGGUUACUAUACAUACCAUCAUGUUCUUCAUUUGCAUGCUUGCUGAGAUAUUUGCUCGGAAUACUUCUGCCUGUGUGGUGUUUCGAAAAUGCCUCAUUAACGAACAUGAACUUCUGAUCGGUUACUGAGAAUUGCACUUUUCUCA
Molecule: RNA transcript, 2308 nt
Organism: Phoenix dactylifera (date palm)
Lineage: Eukaryota; Viridiplantae; Streptophyta; Magnoliopsida; Arecales; Arecaceae
Gene name: Ribophorin I
Source: RefSeq, a predicted model, not a curated record